UCCGGUUUGUCACCGGCAGUCUCAUUAGAGUGCCCAACUGAAUGUAGCAACUAAUGACAAGGGUUGCGCUCGUUGCGGGACUUAACCCAACAUCUCACGACACAAGCUGACGACAGCCAUGCACCACCUGUGUACGACCCCGAAGGACACCGUAUCUCUACGGCUUUUCCGUACAUGUCAAGCCCAGGUAAGGUUCUUCGCGUUGCAUCGAAUUAAGCAACACGCUCCGCUGCUUGUGCGGGCCCCCGUCAAUUCCUUUGAGUUUCAGCCUUGCGACUGUACUCCCCAGGCGGUAUACUUAACGCGUUAGCUUCGUUACUGAGAGUGUCAAACCCCCAACAACCAGUCGACAUCGUUUAGGGCGUGGACUAC
This 372-nucleotide unclassified non-coding RNA is filed under the name uncultured bacterium. RNAcentral's name for it is "contains 16S-23S intergenic spacer region". The record is from RNAcentral.